CCAUACAGAGCUUGACUAGGUUUAAUUUAGCCUGCUGAGAAGAUGGGUAAAUUAACCUCCCUGAGCUCCGGGAUGCCACAGCUGGAUUGCUACCUCUCCCUGGCAUGCUUCAUCAAAAGCUGUGCUAGGAACUUCUCAUGGCAAGCACAGGGGAGGGCCCCCAAAGCCUGCCCAUGGCAGAAGGAUCUUGUCCUUGUUACACCCUCUGUCCUCUCUGCACUGAGGAGGAGUCUCAUCCUGGUGGGAUUGGAAACCUGGAGCAAGAGAGCUACAAGCCUGAGACAGGAGAGCAAAUGAUGAGGUGAUGAUGGUGAUCUGGUGAAGCCUUGGAGGAGACUGAAUGACCCAGGUCUGCAACCACACCUGCAGGCAGACGAAGGAUGCACGAUUAACACCCCCUGAUGUGAUAAGCUGUGAAGGGAACUGUGCUGCUGCACUAAUUCAAGGCACUAUUUUCUGUGCCCAAAAAUCUACAGUUCCUGAUAUGUGGUUUAGGGGACAGUCACAGCAGGAGGUUCCCCUGGCACCCUGGGACUGGUGAGCCCACAUUUGUAGGUAAAUACACCUACAGCUA
Anas platyrhynchos (mallard) is the source of this 574-nucleotide long non-coding RNA. RefSeq lists it as uncharacterized. NCBI's taxonomy places the organism in Eukaryota, Metazoa, Chordata, Aves, Anseriformes, Anatidae. The record is from RefSeq and is a predicted model, not a curated record.